GUGCUUGCUUCAGCAGCACGUAUACUAAAAAUUGGAACAAUACAGAGAAGAUUAGCAUGGCCUCUGUGCAAGGAUGAAACAAAUUCGUGAAGUAUUCCAUAUUAAA
This 106-nucleotide small nuclear RNA is filed under the name Dasypus novemcinctus (nine-banded armadillo). The record is from RNAcentral. Lineage: Eukaryota; Metazoa; Chordata; Mammalia; Cingulata; Dasypodidae.